Molecule: ribosomal RNA, 1960 nt
Filed under: human gut metagenome
Description: bacterial LSU rRNA
Rfam family: Bacterial large subunit ribosomal RNA
Source: RNAcentral
UCAAGCUACUAAGGGCAUACGGCGGAUGCCUAGGCGCCAUCAGCCGAUGAAGGACGCGGUAAGCUGCGAAAAGCUACGGGGAACUGCAAGCAAGUAUUGAUCCGUAGAUGUCCGAAUGGGGAAACCCACCUGCCGUCAUGGGCAGGUAUCCGAAAGGAAGGGAACCCGGGGAACUGAAACAUCUAAGUACCCGGAGGAAGAGAAAUCAAACGAGAUGCCCACAGUAGCGGCGAGCGAAGAGGGCAGAGGGCAAACCGGGGAGCUACGGCUCUCCGGGGUUGAGGACUGCAUUUAGUCUUAAUGGUCUAUCCGAACUACCUGGAAAGGUAGGCAACACAGUGUAAAAGCCACGUAGGUUAAAGACCGGAGAGAUGAGCAGUAUCCAGAGUACCACGAGGCACGAGGAAUCUUGUGGGAAGCCGGGGGGACCACCCUCCAACCCUAAACACUGAAUGGCGACCGAUAGCGCAUAGUACCGUGAGGGAAAGGUGAAAAGAACCCCGGGAGGGGAGUGAAAGAGAACCUGAAACCGUAUGUCUACAAGCAGUCGGAGCGAAAGCGACGGCGUGCCUAUUGAAGAAUGAACCAACGAGUUACGUGCACUAGCGAGGUUAAGUGGAAGACACGGAGCCGAAGCGAAAGCGAGUCUUAAGAGGGCGGAUAGUUAGUGUACGUAGACCCGAAACCGCAGUGAUCUACCCAUGUCCAGGUUGAAGCGCAGGUAAAAUUGCGUGGAGGACCGAACCUGUGAGCGUUGAAAAGCUUUAGGAUGAGAUGUGGGUAGAGGUGAAAUUCCAAUCGAACGCGGAGAUAGCUGGUUCUCCCCGAAAUAGCUUUAGGGCUAGCCUCAAGUAGUAAGUAUAGGCGGUAGAGCACUGAUCGGGCUAGGGGCCAUAAAGGUUACCGAACCCUGUCAAACUCCGAAUGGUUAUACUGUAGAGCUUGGGAGUCAGACUACGAGUGAUAAGAUCCGUGGUCAAAAGGGAAACAGCCCAGACCACCAGCUAAGGUCCCCAAUGUCGUACUAAGUGGAAAAGGAUGUGGGGUCUCUAAAACAACCAGGAUGUUGGCUUAGAAGCAGCCACCAUUUAAAGAGUGCGUAAUAGCUCACUGGUCGAGAGACCCUGCGCCGAAGAUUACCGGGGCUAAAGUACGAAACCGAAGCUGUGGCUACGACUUAGGUCGUGGGGUAGGGGAGCGUUCUGUGAGGGCUGAAGUCGUUCUGUAAGGAACGGUGGACUUCACAGAAGUGAGAAUGUUGGUAUGAGUAGCGAAAAGAAUGGUGAGAAUCCAUUCCACCGAAAGCAUAAGGAUUCCUGGGCAACGAUCGUCGUCCCAGGGUAAGUCGGGACCUAAUCCGAGGCAUGGAGCGUAGGAGAUGGACAACUGGCAGAUAUUCCAGUACCGGUAAUGAUUGUUUGAGCGAUGGAGUGACACAGGAGGGCAGGCAGGCAGGAGAUUGGUUGUUCCUGUACAAGCGUGUAGGAUGGGUUGCAGGCAAAUCCGCAACCUGUGAGUCUGAGGCGUGAUGUGGAGGUUCCGGAAACGGAACUGAAGCUGCUGACCCCACACUGUCGAGAAAAGCUUCUAGUUAGAGAAUUACCGCCCGUACCGUAAACCGACACAGGUAUGCGGGGAGAGAAUCCUAAGGUGCGCGGGAGAACCCUCGUUAAGGAACUCGGCAAAAUGUACCCGUAACUUCGGGAUAAGGGUAGCCGCUGUUGUGAAGUCUGCACAGAUGGAGCAUGAGGCGGUCGCAGAGAAGAGGCCCAAGCGACUGUUUACCACAAACACAGGUGCCUGCUAAAGAGAAAUCUGACGUAUAGGUGCUGACACCUGCCCAGUGCCGGAAGGUUAAGGAAGGAUGUCCGGAGCAAUCCAAAGCAUUCGACCGAAGCCCCGGUGAACGGCGGCCGUAACUAUAACGGUCCUAAGGUAGCGAAAUUCCUUGUCGGGUAAG